RNAcentral lists this ribosomal RNA (254 nucleotides) under uncultured bacterium. Its description in RNAcentral is "partial 16S ribosomal RNA". It matches the Rfam family "Bacterial small subunit ribosomal RNA", at positions 524 to 776 of the family's 1533-position model. The record is from RNAcentral.
UACGUAGGGUGCGAGCGUUGUCCGGAAUUAUUGGGCGUAAAGAGCUCGUAGGCGGUGUGUCACGUCGUUCGUGAAAACCUGCAGCUUAACUGUGGGCGUGCGGUCGAUACGGGCAUCACUGGAGUUCGGCAGGGGAGACUGGAAUUCCUGGUGUAGCGGUGAAAUGUGUUGAUAUUGGAAGGAACGCCGGUGGCGAAAGCGACACACUGGGCCUUGUCUGACGCUGAGGCACGAAAGCCAGGGGAGCAAACGGG